This 465-nucleotide ribosomal RNA is filed under the name Vreelandella stevensii. RNAcentral describes it as "partial 16S ribosomal RNA". It matches the Rfam family "Bacterial small subunit ribosomal RNA", at positions 338 to 795 of the family's 1533-position model. The record is from RNAcentral. Lineage: Bacteria; Pseudomonadati; Pseudomonadota; Gammaproteobacteria; Oceanospirillales; Halomonadaceae.
CCUACGGGGGGCAGCAGUGGGGAAUAUUGGACAAUGGGGGGAACCCUGAUCCAGCCAUGCCGCGUGUGUGAAGAAGGCCCUCGGGUUGUAAAGCACUUUCAGUGAGGAAGAACGCCUGGUGGUUAAUACCCAUCAGGAAAGACAUCACUCACAGAAGAAGCACCGGCUAACUCCGUGCCAGCAGCCGCGGUAAUACGGAGGGUGCGAGCGUUAAUCGGAAUUACUGGGCGUAAAGCGCGCGUAGGUGGCUUGAUAAGCCGGUUGUGAAAGCCCCGGGCUCAACCUGGGAACGGCAUCCGGAACUGUCAAGCUAGAGUGCAGGAGAGGAAGGUAGAAUUCCCGGUGUAGCGGUGAAAUGCGUAGAGAUCUGGAGGAAUACCAGUGGCGAAGGCGGCCUUCUGGACUGACACUGACACUGAGGUGCGAAAGCGUGGGUAGCAAACAGGAUUAGAUACCCUGGUAGUC